Molecule: ribosomal RNA, 377 nt
Filed under: uncultured bacterium
Lineage: Bacteria
Description: bacterial SSU rRNA
Rfam family: Bacterial small subunit ribosomal RNA
Source: RNAcentral
UAAGACGGACCGUACGAACGUUAUUCGGAAUUACUGGGCUUAAAGGGUGCGUAGGCUGUGCAGAAAGUUGGGUGUGAAAGCCCUCGGCUUAACCGAGGAAUUGCGCCCAAAACUACUGUGCUAGAGGGAGAUCGAGGUGAGCGGAACUUAGGGUGGAGCGGUGAAAUGCGUUGAUAUCCUAAGGAACACCGGUGGCGAAAGCGGCUCACUGGCUCUCUUCUGACGCUGAGGCACGAAAGCUAGGGUAGCGAACGGGAUUAGAUACCCCGGUAGUCCUAGCCGUAAACUAUGAGCACUUGGUUGGAGGGUCCUCCAUAGCCUUCCAGCCGUAGCGAAAGUGUUAAGUGCUCCGCCUGGGGAGUAUGGUCGCAAGGCUG